AGGGACAGUCUGCACGUUAUACAAAGCGUGAUACAGCAUAAACUUGCUUCAUAGUGAAACAGGGAUGGUGGAUCAAGAAAGCUUGAUUUUGGGUUGUGUUUGUUAUAUAAAGAAUUUAAAAAUAGGGUAUCUUGUUUAUUUCACCAAAGGCUUAUCAAUUAUAAAACCCCAUUUUAGUAUUGCAAUUUCAAUUCUGUGAGCUAAUUGUUUCUGAUGAAUUGUGAACAUGUUGUACUUAGCUCUGUUUACGAUUAUGGUUACCCUAAUUUAUGUCUAUGCUUCCAGUAAUGUUUGAAACCUGCUAUUUUGGUGCAAUUGUUCUGAUCAUAUGAACCUUUGUAGGUUCUGACAACAAUGCUGAUGGCUUGAGGUUUGUUAAAGUAAGGGUG
Molecule: unclassified non-coding RNA, 389 nt
Filed under: Hevea brasiliensis (rubber tree)
Lineage: Eukaryota; Viridiplantae; Streptophyta; Magnoliopsida; Malpighiales; Euphorbiaceae
Source: RNAcentral